Long non-coding RNA from Syngnathus typhle (broad-nosed pipefish), 1082 nucleotides. RefSeq lists it as uncharacterized. The record is from RefSeq and is a predicted model, not a curated record. Lineage: Eukaryota; Metazoa; Chordata; Actinopteri; Syngnathiformes; Syngnathidae. The transcript has 3 exons.
CUUGGAUUGGGACGACAGUACCGGAGCGCUACUGUUGAUUAUUAUCUCAGUCUGCCCAUUGAGGGUGUGAAGUGAGGCCUCGUCAAAUGCAAAGUUUUUUCCAACCACAUCAGGAGGAGAAGUCUCUGAAGCAGUGGAGUGGCGGUCCUCAAAAAACAAAUCUCCACAAGGAUAAUCGGAAAUAUACAAAAGUUGAUCCAACUCUACUGGAGUGUCCUGGACACCUCCAUUGUCUGAGUCCAGGGUGAGAAAUCCAAGAGGAAACGAUUGCUCCGAUUCCCACUGCGCAUGCCCCAAAGGGCUAGACAGCACCGUGGGUUCCAUCUAUUUCAGCUCAAAAACAAACUCACAUGCCAUAUUUCAUCUUAUAUUAAUACGACUUCAUAUGAAUGCAUCCUACUUACGUGUGAAAAUGUUUAGCAAGGAACUAAAUUUUUUUUAACUUGACAGAUCGGCAACCACACUCACUGAACGUAAUAGCUAAUAUAAAAGUCAUUUUUAAAUGCUAUAAGCCAUGUUUAGUUGUCAAAUCUUUAAGCUGUUUUGACUCACUUGGUGCCUUUCGGGCAUGGCAGGUUCCACGCAUGGCUUUUCCAAAAUCUUGCCGUCCCAGCCCAAACAUCGUCAAACGUUUUAGUGGAGAAAUUAGCAAAAAAGACGUGAGAAAUACUUCGGCUGCGAAACAAAAAACGCUAGCAUGUAUUUUGUCAACAUUAUUAGCUUAGCCGAUCACCUCAACGCGUCCCCUCGCGAGCGAUUCCAAAAAACGAUGAGGGCGUGGGGGGGAUAACAAACCGUUUCCAAAUUGAAAUAUUAUUCCGAACAUUGGCGUUUAAAUGGCAUUGCAACGAGAGUGUCAAGCGUUUAUCCUGGAAGAAAUGGAGGAAAAAGAAAACACUAAGAAUAACUCCUCCUUUCCAGCAUCCUACCGCUCCCCUGUCAUUGGCUAGCUGUCGAGCUAGCCUAAAUUAGCCUGUUCGCUCGCGACCAGGCCAAACGAUCCGUCCGCCAUCCAAGUCCUUGGGGAAAUUAUUGAAUAAAAAAAAAAACUAAUCCGCUUCAAAGUCAGUUUGUUGUCUCCG